This 148-nucleotide small RNA is filed under the name Pongo abelii (Sumatran orangutan). RNAcentral's name for it is "Metazoan signal recognition particle RNA (ENSPPYG00000032462.1)". Lineage: Eukaryota; Metazoa; Chordata; Mammalia; Primates; Hominidae. The record is from Rfam by way of RNAcentral.
GCUGGGCGUGGUGGCGGGUGCCUGUAAUCCCAGCUACUCAGGAGGCUGAGGCAGGAGAAUUGCUUGAACCCAGGAGGCAGAAGUUGCAGUGAGCCGAGAUAGCGCCACUGCACUCCAGCCUGGGUGACAGAGAAAGACUCUGUCUCAA